RNAcentral lists this ribosomal RNA (539 nucleotides) under Desulfobulbaceae bacterium enrichment culture 13Fcon05. Its description in RNAcentral is "SSU rRNA". It matches the Rfam family "Bacterial small subunit ribosomal RNA", at positions 8 to 525 of the family's 1533-position model. The record is from RNAcentral. Lineage: Bacteria; Pseudomonadati; Thermodesulfobacteriota; Desulfobulbia; Desulfobulbales; Desulfobulbaceae.
AGAGUUUGAUCAUGGCUCAGAUUGAACGCUGGCGGCGUGCUUAACACAUGCAAGUCGAACGAGAAAGGGACUUCGGUCCUGAGUAGAGUGGCGCACGGGUGAGUAACGCGUAGGUAAUCUACCUCUGCAUCUGGGAUAACACUUCGAAAGGGGUGCUAAUACCGGAUACACUUAUGGAUCGCAAGRUCUAUAAGGAAAGGAGACCUCUCCUUGGAAGUUUCUGUGUAGAGAUGAGCCUGCGUCCCAUUAGCUAGUUGGCAGGGUAAUGGCCUACCAAGGCGACGAUGGGUAGCGGGUCUGAGAGGAUGAUCCGCCACACUGGAACUGAAACACGGACCAGACUCCUACGGGAGGCAGCAGUGAGGAAUAUUGCGCAAUGGGGGCAACCCUGACGCAGCGACGCCGCGUGGACGAUGAAGGCCCUUGGGUCGUAAAAUCCUGUCAGAUGGAAAGAAAUGUACAGGUGUUAAUAUCGCCUGUAUUUGACGGUACCAUCAAAGGAAGCACCGGCUAACUCCGUGYCAGCAGCCGCGGUAAUA